This 718-nucleotide ribosomal RNA is filed under the name uncultured bacterium. RNAcentral describes it as "bacterial SSU rRNA". It matches the Rfam family "Bacterial small subunit ribosomal RNA", at positions 8 to 771 of the family's 1533-position model. The record is from RNAcentral.
AGAGUUUGAUCAUGGCUCAGAACGUACGCUGGCGGCACGCCUAACACAUGCAAGUCGAACGAAGUAGCAAUACUUAGUGGCAGACGGGUGAGUAACAUGUAGGUAUCUGCCCUUUGGCCUGGAAUAACACGAGGAAACUUGUGCUAAUACCGGAUAAGUCUUUACGGAGAAAGCUUUAUGCACCAUUGGAUGAGCCUGCACUUGAUUAGUUUGUUGGUGAGGUAAUGGCCUACCAAGACUGUGAUCAAUAGCUGAUUUGAGAGGAUGAUCAGCCACAUUGGGACUGAGACACGGCCCAAACUCCUACGGGAGGCAGCAGUGGGGAAUCUUGCACAAUGGAGGAAACUCUGAUGCAGCGAUGCCGCGUGAGUGAAGAAGGCCCUUGGGUUGUAAAGCUCUUUCGUCGGGGAAGAAAAUGACUGUACCCGAAUAAGAAGGUCCGGCUAACUUCGUGCCAGCAGCCGCGGUAAUACGAAGGGACCUAGCGUAGUUCGGAAUUACUGGGCUUAAAGAGUUCGUAGGUGGUUGAAAAAGUUAGUGGUGAAAUCCCAGAGCUUAACUCUGGAACUGCCAUUAAAACUUUUCAGCUAGAGUAUGAUAGAGGAAAGCAGAAUUUCUAGUGUAGAGGUGAAAUUCGUAGAUAUUAGAAAGAAUACCAAUUGCGAAGGCAGCUUUCUGGAUCAUUACUGACACUGAGGAACGAAAGCAUGGGUAGCGA